GCAUAUAUACUCGGGUCCAUACAACCCUAAGUCAUUGGCGAACUAAAGUUUCUCCGAGUUUUGAAAUCUUUACUGUUGGCAGACUGCAUACUGAGAUAAUUAUAUUCCCUUCCCAAAAAUGGAUUUUCGUCUGAAUGUUUGUCUUUUGUUGAUACUUUUUGUGGCAUUUUCUGACGUUGAUGGCCGUAAAUUUGCCGAAGAUAAAGCGAAUGAUCCUAUUUGUGGUGAUUUUGGUAGUCGAUGUGUUCCGUUUGAAGGAUAUUGCCACCCAAACGAAUAUGGUUGUGACUUUUUUUGCACACCGGGAAACAAAUGCUGCUGCCCGUUCUGAGGUGGAAAAUGAAACCGGAUUCGUCUCUAGAAUAGAAAGAAGUUGUUGAAUGUAAUGCAUCCAAUUUACUUUGAUUAAUUAAAGGGGUUGAUAAAAAA
Dendronephthya gigantea is the source of this 429-nucleotide long non-coding RNA. RefSeq lists it as uncharacterized. The transcript is spliced from 4 exons. Lineage: Eukaryota; Metazoa; Cnidaria; Anthozoa; Malacalcyonacea; Nephtheidae. The record is from RefSeq and is a predicted model, not a curated record.